Long non-coding RNA from Gorilla gorilla gorilla (western lowland gorilla), 2795 nucleotides. RefSeq lists it as uncharacterized. NCBI's taxonomy places the organism in Eukaryota, Metazoa, Chordata, Mammalia, Primates, Hominidae. The transcript is spliced from 3 exons. The record is from RefSeq and is a predicted model, not a curated record.
CAAGCCAUCGCAUCCCCUGUGACUUGCACGUAUAUGCCCAGAUGGCCUGAAGUAACUGAAGAAUCACAAAAGAAGUGAAUAUGCCCUGCCCCACCUUUACUGAUGACAUUCCACCACAAAAGAAGUGUAAAUGGCUGGUCCUUGCCUUAAGUGAUGACAUUACCUUGUGAAAGUCCUUUUCCUGGCUCAUCCUGGCUCAAAAAGCACCCCCACUGAGUACCUUGUGACCCCCACUCCUGCCCACCAGAGAACAAACCCCCUUUGACUGUAAUUUUCCAUUACCUUCCCAAAUCCUAUAAAACGGCCCCACCCUUAUCUCCCUUCGCUGACUCUCUUUUGGGACUCAGCCUGCCUGCACCCAGGUGAAAUAAACAGCCAUGUUGCUCACACAAAGCCUGUUUGGUGGUCUCUUCACACGGACGUGCAUGAAAUUUGGUGCUGUGACUCGGAUCGGGGGACCUCCCUUGGGAGAUCAAUCCCCUGUCCUCCUGUUCUUUGCUCCAUGAGAAAGAUCCACCUACGACCUCAGGUCCUCAGACCGACCAGCCCAAGGAACAUCUCACCAAUUUUAAAUCGGGUAAGCGGCCUCUUCUUACUCUCUUCUCCAGCCUCUCUCACUGUCCCUCAACCACUUUCUCCUUUCUACUCUUCAAUCUCUCCCUUCUCUUAAUUUCAAUUCCUUUCAUUUUCUGGGAGAGACAAAGGAGACACGUUUUAUCCGUGGACUCAAAACUCUGGCGCUGGUCACGGACUGGGAAGGCAGACUUCCCUAGGUGUUUAAUCAUUGCAGGGACACCUCUCUGAUCAUUCACCCAUGUUUCAAAGGUGUUAGACCACGCAGGGACGCCUGCCUUGGUCCUUCACCCUUAGCGGCAAGUCCCGCUUUUCUGGGAAAGGGGCAAGUACUCCAACCCCUUCUCUCCUUGCCUCUACCCCUUCUCUGCUUUUCUGGGGGAGGGGCAAGUACCCCUCAACCCCUUCUCCUUCACCCUUAGUGGCAAGUCCUGCUUUUCUAGAGGAGGGGCAAGUACCCCAACCUCAUAUCUCUGCGCCCCAAUCCCUUAUUUCCGUGCCCCAACCUCUUAUAUCUCUGCGCCCCAAUCCCUUAUUUCUGUGCCCUGAUCCCUUAUUUCUGUGCUGACCCCUUAUUGCUGCACCCCAUCCCUUAUUUCCAUGCCCCGACCUCUUAUCUCUGUGCUCCAACCCCUUUUCCCACUUUUCUGGAAGGUAAGAACCCCCGAACCCCUUCCCUCCAUUUCUCUACUCUCUCUUUUCUCUAGGCUUGCUUCCUUCACUAUAGGCAACCUUCCACCCUCCAUUCCUCCUUCUACUCCCUUGGCCUGUGUUCUCAAAAACUUAAAACCUCUUCAACUCACACCUGACCUAAAACCUAAAUGCCUUAUUUUCUUCUGCAAUGCCACUUGACCCCAGUACAAACUUGACAGUAGUUCCAAAUAGCCAGAAAAUGGCACUUUGAAUUUUUCCAUCCUGCAAAAUCCAAAUAAUUCUUGUCGUAAAAUAGGCAAACGGUCUGAGGUGCCUGACGUCCAGGCAUUCUUUUACACAUCAGUCCCUUCCUAGUCUCUGUGCCCAGUGCAACUCGUCCCAAACCUUCCUUCUUUCCCUCCCGCCUGUCCCCUCAGUACCAACCCCAAGCAUCGCUGAGUCUUUCUAAUCUUCCUUUUCUACAGACCCAUCUGACCUCUCCCUUCCUCCCCAGCCUGCUCCUCACCAGGCUGAGCUAGGUCCCAAUUCUUCCUCAGCCUCUGCUCCUCCACCCUAUAAUCUUUUUAUCACCUCCCCUCCUCACACCUGGUCUGGCUGACAGUUUCGUUCCGUGACUAGCCCUCCCCCACCUACCCAGCAAUUCACUCUUAAAAAGGUGGCUGGAGCUAAAGGCAUAGUCAAGGUUAAUGCUCCUUUUUCUUUAUCCCAAAUCAGAUAGCGUUUAGGCUCUUUUUCAUCAAAUAUAAAAAUCCAGCCCAAUUCAUGACUUGUUUGGCAGCAACCCUGAGACACUUUACAGCCCUAGACCCUAAAAGGUCAAAAGGCCGUCUUAUUCUCAAAAUACAUUUUAUUACCCAAUCUGCUCCCGACAUUAAAUAAAACUCCAAAAAUUAAAUUCUGGCCCUCAAAUCCCACAACAGGAUUCAAUUAACCUCGCCUUCAAGGUGUACAGUAAUAGAAAAAAGUUGCAAUUCCUUGCCUCCACUGUGAGACAAACCCCAGCCACAUCUCCAGCACACAAGAACUUCCAAACGCCUGAACCGCAGCGGCCAGGCAUUCCUCCAGAACCUCCUCCCCCAGGAGCUUGCUACAAGUGCCAGAAAUCUGACCCCCAGGCCAAGGAAUGCCCGCAGCCCAGGAUUCCUCCUAAGCUGCGUCCCAUCUGUGUGGGACCCCACUGAAAAUCGGACUGUUCAACUCACCUGGCAGCCACUCCCAGAGCCCCUGGAACUCUGGCCCAAGGCUCUCUGACUGACUCCUUCCCAGAUCUUCUCGGCUUAGCAGCUGAAGACUGACACUGCCUGAUCGCCUCGGAAGCCCCCUAGACCACCACGGACGCUGAGCUUCGGGUAACUCUCACAGUGGAAGGUCUGGGGCAAGGAAAGUACCAGAUAAACCUGAAACAUUUUGAGGUGCCAGAAAGUAAGGAAGAUCUCAAAAAAAUGAUGGGAACAUAUCAAAGCCACCAUGCCACCUUCCACCAUGAUUUUGAGGCCUCCCUAGACAUGUGGACCUGUAAGUACAAUAAACCUCUUUCUUUUGUAACCUGCCCAGUCUCAAGUAUGUCU